GCAGUCGAGCGACGCAAUCCCUUCGGGGAGAAGACGGAGCGGCGAACGGGUGAGUAACACGUGGGCAACCUGCCCCUAGCUCUGGGACAACUCCUCGAAAGAGGGGCUAAUACCGGAUACGACCUCGGAAGACAUCUUCUGAGGUGGAAAGUUUUUCGGCUAGGGAUGGGCCCGCGGCCUAUCAGCUUGUUGGUGGGGUAAUGGCCUACCAAGGCGACGACGGGUAGCCGGCCUGAGAGGGCGACCGGCCACACUGGGACUGAGACACGGCCCAGACUCCUACGGGAGGCAGCAGUGGGGAAUAUUGCGCAAUGGGCGAAAGCCUGACGCAGCGACGCCGCGUGAGGGAUGAAGGCCUUCGGGUUGUAAACCUCUUUCAGCAGGGACGAAAACAGACGGUACCUGCAGAAGAAGCACCGGCCAACUACGUGCCAGCAGCCGCGGUAAUACGUAGGGUGCAAGCGUUGUCCGGAAUUAUUGGGCGUAAAGAGCUCGUAGGCGGUUUGUCGCGUCGGCUGUGAAAACUCGGGGCUCAACCCCGAGCCUGCAGUCGAUACGGGCAGACUAGAGUGCUGUAGGGGAGACUGGAAUUCCUGGUGUAGCGGUGAAAUGCGCAGAUAUCAGGAGGAACACCGGUGGCGAAGGCGGGUCUCUGGGCAGUAACUGACGCUGAGGAGCGAAAGCGUGGGGAGCAAACAGG
This 700-nucleotide ribosomal RNA is filed under the name uncultured bacterium. Its description in RNAcentral is "bacterial SSU rRNA". It matches the Rfam family "Bacterial small subunit ribosomal RNA", at positions 57 to 776 of the family's 1533-position model. The record is from RNAcentral.